GCAAAUGAUGACUUAAACAUUCUUCACUUUGACCUGACUGUCUGGUGAUGAGAAGCUUCCGUCUGAAU
Small nucleolar RNA from Anguilla anguilla (European eel), 68 nucleotides. RefSeq annotates it as small nucleolar RNA SNORD37. The record is from RefSeq and is a predicted model, not a curated record. NCBI's taxonomy places the organism in Eukaryota, Metazoa, Chordata, Actinopteri, Anguilliformes, Anguillidae. The transcript has a single exon.